Molecule: long non-coding RNA, 163 nt
Organism: Malurus melanocephalus (red-backed fairy wren)
Lineage: Eukaryota; Metazoa; Chordata; Aves; Passeriformes; Maluridae
Exons: 3
Source: RefSeq, a predicted model, not a curated record
GCCCACCCGCGCUGAGACGCGCGAGGAGCGCAUGGAGCGCAAGCGGCGGGAGAAAAUCGAGCGGAGGCAGCAGGAGGUGGAGUCUGAGCUCAAGCUGUGGGACCCCCACAAUGACCCCAACGCUCAAGGAGAUGCCUUCAAAACCCUGUUUGUGGCCAGAGUG